Long non-coding RNA from Capsicum annuum, 2113 nucleotides. RefSeq lists it as uncharacterized. Lineage: Eukaryota; Viridiplantae; Streptophyta; Magnoliopsida; Solanales; Solanaceae. The record is from RefSeq and is a predicted model, not a curated record. The transcript is spliced from 4 exons.
AAUCUAAACCGUCAACCAAACGAUCGAACGGUUCAUAUUAAGUCAAGAGUUUCAAAGACUUCUUCUGCCUUUCCCCAAAAUUCCACGCGUUUUCUCUGCCCACAAAGCAUGGCGAGUCCCUUCCAUUGCCCAAAAAACACAACAAAUCAAAUGACCCAUGCUCUUCUCCCUUUCUCCCUCUUCUCCAACAUGACCAAACUAAAACCCUAGCACCGCGUCAUCUAUGUCCACUGCAAAUUCUGCUAGAUUCUCCCUAUUUUUGCAUCUUCCUAACCCGUGACUUUAACAAAUCAGGGAAACCAAUUUUCCAAUCGGUGCUACAAUGAAAUUUGGUUUCAAAUCCGCAUUAAAGAGACAAAAUCGUUCAAAAUUGCGAAGAGAGUUGUCAUUUUUAAUUUUUGAUCCUCCUUUUUGAUUUGUCCUUUAGUUUCCAUGAAAUAUGGAUUUCAAAUCUGGAAUUUGAAAUUUGGAUUUGCCUACAUGUACCCACAAUUUUAUACAUCUCAAAAACAAGUUUUGAGGAGGAGAGAAAAAGUUGGACGAAAACCUGUUAACAUAGAAUUUUUGCAAGCAAAGUCACAAAAUUGCAAUUUUAUUUUCUUAUUUUCGGUCUAGGUUUGGGUUCUCAGAGUUUGAAAACUGAAAAUCCUUGACGUUGGAGCUCUGAUUUGCUGCCAAAACAAGGCUUGGUUAUUUGAAGUCUGUCCUAUUUAAGACAACAAGUGACCUACCAAGAAAAAGUUUCUUGUUCAAGAAUCCUGAGUUGGUUGUUGGCCAAAACUGAUAAAAAUGUAAAUUUUCUUGAUCUCUUCAACUCCUCGAAAAAAGAAAUUGUCCAUCCGUGACUUGUUCCGACAAAUCGAGAGUUGAAGAUGCCAUUUUUUCUUAACAGUCUAUGCAAACUUUAUCGGAUCAUAAGGUCAUUAAUAUUAUAAAAAAGGAAUUGUUUGGAGCAACAACCAUCACAAGAAAAAUAAUUUUAGAGGGUGGGCUUGUUGUUGAUGAUGGUAGUAGUAGUGGUGCUGCUGUUGGGGAUAAUGAUGCUCGUCUUAUAGUUUUUGAAACAACAAACCAUUAUGAUUAUGAUUAUACUGGUUAUACAGAUUUUUCCAUUUCUAGCGAAUGUUUGACAUGCAAAUUUCAAGACUGCAAGGUGAAAUAUGAUGAAGUGAUUAAUGCAUUAAUUGCUUUUAUAAAGGAAAUGCCAUCUAAAAUGGGUGUAAUUCCAUUAAAGAAGAUUUCAUAUAUUCAUACACUCUACUACAGAUCAAGGUGGAUAAGAGGGGAAGGAAAGAAAUUUCUAAGGAAUCAUUGAGCAUCGAAAAAAGCCAAAUUGCAAUUCCUCUAUCUUUGUCUUACAUCUUUGAUCAAUGUAUAAGGUCCACAGGAGAGCAGCACAAGCUGAAGAAGGUGAAUGUAUAUCGUCUGUUCCAAUAAACAAAUAGACACAUAUCUGUUUCAACAGAUGGUACAUCUGUUAAAAAUUAUCAAAUAAAUAUAUAUACAUAUGUUGCAACUAUCAUCUAACUUAUUGUAUCAGAUGCAUUAUCUGUUGCAACAUAUGCUCGUCUGUUUCAGUAAAUCAAGCAGGUCUUCAUACUAUUUUAAUUUAUACCAACAGAUGAGUCAUAUAUUACAACAGAUGGGUUAUCUGUUUGAAAUUAUCGUACAACUCUAUUUUACCUGUUUGAAUUUGUCCCAACAGAUAAUCCAUCUAAUGCAACAGAUAGGUAAUCUGCUGUUUAUCUGUGAUUAGCAUUGAUAAUUCUGGCUUUCCAGGUGGAUGUCAUAGUAGAAGCUAUUGCUGAAUAGCAUAAUAUCAAAGUUGAUAAUCCAUCAACUGCUUCCAUGAAAGAAGACAAAGUGGAGCCUGUCAGUCUGGGAGAAUAUAAGAAUUACCUGUUUGAAGAGUUCAGCAUCUCGGAUGAGGCUCCUAAAAAACUAACAAAGUUGAUCAACGACUAUUUAGAAUGGAUUGUCGAUGGGACGUUAAAGCAUCAUGUCGGCAGGUUUGUACUGAUUGAUCGACGAUUGAAGCAUACUGGGAUAAAAUGAGUAAUUUAUUUGAUGUUGAAUAUGUUGAAGGAAUUUCUCAACAACCCAUUGGUAGCCA